UGGGGAAUAUUGGGCAAUGGGCGAAAGCCUGACCCAGCGACGCCGUGUGGGCGAUGAAGGCCUUCGGGUUGUAAAGCCCUGUGAGGUGGAAAGAAGGGUCCAGAGGUUAAUACCCUUUGGACUUUGACGGUACCACCAGAGGAAGCACCGGCUAACUCCGUGCCAGCAGCCGCGGUAAUACGGAGGGUGCAAGCGUUGUUCGGAAUUACUGGGCGUAAAGGGCGCGUAGGUGGUUGUGUAAGUCAGAUGUGAAAUCCUUAGGCUUAACCUGAGAACUGCAUCUGAUACUGCAUGACUCGAGUACAGCAGAGGGAAACGGAAUUCCUGGUGUAGAGGUGAAAUUCGUAGAUAUCAGGAGGAACACCGGUGGCGAAGGCGGUUUCCUGGGCUGAUACUGACACUGAGGCGCGAAAGCGUGGGGAGCAAACA
This 429-nucleotide ribosomal RNA is filed under the name uncultured prokaryote. Its description in RNAcentral is "bacterial SSU rRNA". It matches the Rfam family "Bacterial small subunit ribosomal RNA", at positions 355 to 774 of the family's 1533-position model. The record is from RNAcentral.